GUAAAAGUGAUCGAGUUUGGCUUAGUUCCUGCUAGCUGCAUUUGGGUAAACCAAUCUAGGGCUUCUCUACCCUUUCCAUGGAUUGCAAAGCCACUGAUUAUUGCCGUCCAAGCACAGACACAUUUCUUCUCCAACUUACUGAACACUAGUAGGGCCUUUUCCAUUUCACCACAUUUAACAUACAUGUCUAUAAGAACACAACCCAAAAUUUCAUCUAUUUUUAUUUCGUUUUUUUCAACAUAGGUGUGAAUCCACUCGCCUUGCUCCAAUGCACCAAGGCCUGCACAUGCUGAAAGGGAGCAACUGAGAGUUAUACUAUCAGGUUUGAUGCCUGCAACCAGCAUUUGCCGAAGAAGUGACAAAGCUUCUUUGUGCAUGCCUGCCCUAACA
This 390-nucleotide long non-coding RNA is filed under the name Phaseolus vulgaris (common bean). RNAcentral describes it as "long non-coding RNA (PVUL_LNC004309)". The record is from RNAcentral. Lineage: Eukaryota; Viridiplantae; Streptophyta; Magnoliopsida; Fabales; Fabaceae.